GAUGAACGCUGACAGAAUGCUUAACACAUGCCAGUCCACUUGAAUUUGGGUUUUUUAACUUAGAUUUGGGUGGCGGACGGGUGAGUAACGCGUAAAGAACUUGCCUCACAGCUAGGGACAACAUUUGGAAACGAAUGCUAAUACCUGAUAUUAUGAUUAUAAGGCAUCUUAGAAUUAUGAAAGCUAUAUGCGCUGUGAGAGAGCUUUGCGUCCCAUUAGCUAGUUGGAGAGGUAACGGCUCACCAAGGCGAUGAUGGGUAGCCGGCCUGAGAGGGUGAACGGCCACAAGGGGACUGAGACACGGCCCUUACUCCUACGGGAGGCAGCAGUGGGGAAUAUUGGACAAUGGACCAAGAGUCUGAUCCAGCAAUUCUGUGUGCACGAUGACGUUUUUCGGAAUGUAAAGUGCUUUCAGUUGGGAAGAAAAAAAUGACGGUACCAACAGAAGAAGUGACGGCUAAAUACGUG
RNAcentral lists this ribosomal RNA (468 nucleotides) under uncultured bacterium. RNAcentral's name for it is "partial 16S ribosomal RNA". It matches the Rfam family "Bacterial small subunit ribosomal RNA", at positions 28 to 507 of the family's 1533-position model. The record is from RNAcentral.